This is a long non-coding RNA of Beta vulgaris subsp. vulgaris (sugar beet), 1037 nucleotides long. RefSeq lists it as uncharacterized. The record is from RefSeq and is a predicted model, not a curated record. Lineage: Eukaryota; Viridiplantae; Streptophyta; Magnoliopsida; Caryophyllales; Amaranthaceae. The transcript is spliced from 4 exons.
UUUCAGUUUAAUGACCCAAGUGGUUAAGAAUUGGGAGAAACCUUAAAACCAAAAUAAAACCCCAAACAAUAAUUUUCUCUCUCCUCUGAUUUUAUACCCCGUGCUGUGCAUGCUCAAUUUCUGGAUUUUUGAAGUCGGAAUUUCCCAAAAUUAUUGAAUCAAAGUUGUAGAUCUCGAAAAUUUAUUGAACGUAGACCCAAAAAUCACUUGAUUUGGAGUUCAGAGCUCUGAGUUAUGGUCUUUGCAAAUUUGGUGUUGCUACCUCCAUUUCUCUCUCCUCUGUUUUUAUUUACCAAUCUGUUGCCCCAUUUAUCUAUAACAUGCAAUCCAAUUUUGCUCUUUGUUGCUGAAUCAAAGUUGUAGAUCACUUCGAGCUAAUGAAUUUGGGCACAAAAAUCACUUGAUUUGGAGUUCGGAGCUAUGAGUUAUGGUCUUUUUGUAGAUCACUUCGAGCUAAUGAAUUUGAGCACAAAAAUCGCUCAAUUUGGAGUUCGGAGCUAUGAGUUACGCCUUACACAAGUUCAGCACUACUGUUGUACUUUGGGUUGCGCUGCUACCGUGAUUGGCUUGUUUGCCUUGUUGCUGCCAUUAUUUUGGUAUUCCUUUCCAUAUGAAGGGUUCAUUGUUAGUGAUUUUGCAGGGUUGAUGUCGAGGACUUGGAAUAUGAUUAUUGAUCAAGAAGAAGAUUUUUAUGUUUAUGAAUGACUAGGUGUGCUGGAGCUGCUGCAUGAUACCGAGCAUUCGGGGGCUUGUCUUUGGUAUUUGCAUUUAAAGCAUUUUGAAAUAAGUAUUAUUGGUUUUUCCAGGACUUACAUAAAUAGUUUGUGGUUUGAAUGAAAGGGGUCGUUGAUGAUUCCCGGGUUGUAUUUAUAUUUUAAUUCUGCUGCAUUUUAGUUUUCAAGACAAUGUUUUAAGUUAUCGUUAACUUUUAUUAUGCCUUGCGUUCCAUCGCGGCGGUAACGCCCCCGAAGUCGACGCGACGUAGCAGUGGUAGACGCGUGUGGAUUUUGGGGGUGUUACAAUGGCUUUCCUGGGAU